CAGCCGCCGCGGGAAUACGUAGGGUGCAAGCGUUAAUCGGAAUUACUGGGCGUAAAGCGUGCGCAGGCGGUUAUAUAAGACAGAUGUGAAAUCCCCGGGCUCAACCUGGGAACUGCAUUUGUGACUGUAUAGCUAGAGUACGGCAGAGGGGGAUGGAAUUCCGCGUGUAGCAGUGAAAUGCGUAGAUAUGCGGAGGAACACCGAUGGCGAAGGCAAUCCCCUGGGCCUGUACUGACGCUCAUGCACGAAAGCGUGGGGAGCAAACAGGAUUAGAUACCCGCGUAGUCCCUGUCUUUUAUAA
RNAcentral lists this ribosomal RNA (301 nucleotides) under uncultured bacterium. RNAcentral's name for it is "partial 16S ribosomal RNA". It matches the Rfam family "Bacterial small subunit ribosomal RNA", at positions 509 to 809 of the family's 1533-position model. The record is from RNAcentral.